GUUGCUGGAGACUGUGAGGCUCCUGAAGUCAAAGGGCUGGCUGAAAUGAAACCAAGACUUCAGUCUGUUGCUGAAGAGCUUUCCAGAUGUUCCCACAGCAUUUCUGAACACCAAGCAAUUGUAUGGUGUCUUAUAUCUGAGGUGGAAAGGAGAAGGAGUCACAUCAAAGAUGACAGGAGCAUCCAGAAGAUGGAGGCAUGCCUUGACAAGAUGCAGCUCAUCUACAGCCAGUUUAAGAAGGUCCGGAAGUGUCC
Molecule: long non-coding RNA, 254 nt
Organism: Gekko japonicus
Lineage: Eukaryota; Metazoa; Chordata; Lepidosauria; Squamata; Gekkonidae
Exons: 3
Source: RefSeq, a predicted model, not a curated record